UUAUGGGUAUUCACUUCUACUAUAUAACUAAGAAUGGAAACCGCUUGUAUCUGAGGCUGAAAUCUGAAAAACAAUAGAAAAAAAAUUAUUCUAGGUCUCUUUCAAUCUAGUUUCUUAAAUUGUCAGACACUGAAUUGCUUCAGCUAUGCAAUGGGGAUAGUAGUUCCCUCAUACAAGUUAUGGUGAGGAUUAAAAAAGGCAACUCAUGGAAAGAGCUUUGCAAAGCCUGACAACUCAGUGAACAGUCAAUAAGUUCAUUAACAGAUCCUGAGUUUCAAAGUUUGCGUUCAGCUGACAGAUAAUUCAUUGCAAUACCAGCUUUAGGCUCUUAUCUUCCCAGGCCCAGUGUUGUGUCUCUUUGCAGUCAGUAUUCUGUUCUCUUUUGCUAUUCUUAGCCAUUAUUCAUUUCUUCCUUCAAAAAUAUUCAUUCAUGGGAGUUCCCACUGUGGUGCAGCAGGUUAAGAAUCUGACUGCUGCCAAUCAGGUGGCUGCAGAGGCUUGAGUUUGAUCCCCAGACAAGCACAGUGGGUUAAAGGGUAUGGCAUUGCUACAACUGUGGCUUGGAUUCAAUCCCUGGCCCGGGAACUUUCAUAUGCUGUAGAUUAUGGCCAUUAAAAAAAAACCCGACAACUUAUUUUUAUAUUAAAAAAAAUAAAAAUAGUGUUUUGUGCAAGUAUCCUGUAUAUAGUUCAUUUUUUCCAUGUGAAAUUUAUAUAGUGUUGGGCAAUUUCUAAAUCAAGUACAAAAGUAAAUAGCCUUGACCAUGUCUAGGAUUCCCCUUUUAUUUUCUUGACAAACUCAUAAUUUUUACAUAAAGCUUUCUGUGUCAGGCCCUGUUCUAAGUAUUUACUAACAUGAAUUCAUUUAUAUCAACGGUUUCCAUUGCUAAAACAAAUAAUAAUAAAAAAAAAACCCUAGGUGAGCAGCCUAUUUAGUAAAAUCUAGUUUCAGUAAUACAUGUUUUAAAUAUUUCAGUACAAUUUAAUUCAGUGUUAGUGUCUUUGGUCUGCAGCCAUUGAAAGCCAUGGGGGUUCUUUACAAGUAAUCUGAAGAAGCUUUUCUCCUCCUCACAGUGUUUGGGUUUGCUUGAGCUUCUCCAUGGCAAUAAAUCAUUCAGCAUAGGGCCUGGCAUGCUGGUGUGUUUAGGAGCUCUGCAUGAUCAAAGAGCAAGUUGUGUAAACAAAUAGAUUUAUCUCAAAUAAACACAAUAAAAUAGAAUGGAUUUAAUAGACAUGAAAUUGCUCUUAGGUUUAGUGGCCAAAUUCUCUAUUUGAAGGCCCAGAAUCACAAUAAAAAAGACAUGGGUCAGAGAUGGAACAGAGGCUUGCAAUUUCUUUACAAGCUCAGUUAAGAAAUGUGUACAUCAUAUACAUUGUUCAGUAUUCUGGGGAUAAAUUGAAACUCAAAUUCUCAAGUAUUUCUUCACGUCAGAUUUGUAAUUUUUUCCCCUAAAAAUAACUUUUUCACACAUAAUCUUGACAAAUUUGUAUUCUUUCAUUAGAAAGCAGCUAACCUGCAGUGAUAUUCAUCAAAACACGAUUUUACUGGAGUUCCCAUCGUGGCUCAGUGGUUAAUGAACCCGACUAGCAUCCAUGAGGACACAGGUUCGAUCUUUGGCCUCACUCAGUGGGUUAAGGAUCCAGCAUUGCCAUGAGCAGUGGUGUAGGUCACAGCCAUGGCUUAGGUCCCGCGUUGCUGUGGCUUUGGCGUAGGCCAGUGGCUACAGCUCCGAUUUGACCCCUAGCCUGGGAACCUCCAUAAGCCACAGGAAUGGCACUAAAAAGACAAAAAAGACCAAAAAAACCAUGAUUUUACUAAAAUCAUAUAUAUAUAUCAAUGAUUUUUCUUAUAUUUGUAUUUUCAUCCUUUGUUUCAGAAUCAUGUAUCUUUAACAUUAAAGGAAAUAUGUUAUUAUUGCUAAGAUAUUGACUGCAUGUAUAUAUCUAAAGAGUCAGUAUAGGUUAAGAGUUUAGCCUCUGGAGUUAGAAACUUCACAGAGUGAACGCAGUACUCCACAAGGCCUGUUGACUUGGGCAAAUUACUUAACCUUUUCUAUAAAAUGAGGGCAAGAGUCAAAACUACCUUAUAAAGUCUUGUGAGAAUGAACUGAGUCAUGUAUGUAAACUAUAUAGUGUGCUACCUGGAACAUAUAUGGGAAAACAUUCUCUAUGAGAAUCUCAUCUCUGUGCACAUCUGAGCAAAAAAACAUCGAUAUCCCUGUAUAAACCACAGAUCAGAGAUGGAGAAGAUAGGGAUAGGACCAUAGGUCAUAGAGAUCGAAUCUCUCUUCAAGGAAGAGAAAAGAUUUAUUUCCUGAGCAGUAUAAUAAAGAUCUCCAUCCUGGGGAAAGACUGAGUGUGUCUCCUGGGAGCUUUAAAAGAUUGGGGUUUUCUAAACUUGGGGUCCCUUAAUAUAUGCAAGCAGAUUAACUUAGUUUAUAAGCAAGGUAAAAUCCUAAACCCUUCAGUUAUUGAUUGCAUGAUUAGCACUCAAUAACCAUCAGUAGUUGUUAUAUGAUUAUAUACUCUUGAAGAGGUUGUAACACAGGAAGUACUCAGUGUAAAUUUCCCAACACUAACAAGAUCAAUGGUAUGCCAAUUGACUAAGAUAAUCCUGCAGCAGUCUAUUUAAUGUUUGUUUUUCUUUUAUGAAUUGAGCAAUUUUUAGGUUAAUCAAAUUAUGGUCUAGCCACUUGGCUCCUUCAUUUAAAUAUGGCCUUAUGCAUAUGUUCUCUAUUUUGAAAAUAAAAGUUAUGUUUAUACCACUUUUUAUUGUCUUUUUUUAUAUUUUUUAUCACUCAAAUGAACUUAUCAUUUUUUAAAAAAUUCAAUUAAUUAGAUUCCCAGCCAUGAAAUUUUGAAAUCUCUAGGCACAGCUGUUCCAAAAUAAAAAGAAAUAAUAAUAUAAAAAUAAGUGAAUAAAAUUUGGAAAUUGAAUCUAAAUUCAAUUUUAUUUUGGUAGCCUUAUGGUAUACCAAAUCUUUUUUUGACUCAUUAUAUAGAAAAUGAAGCAAUAAAAUCAUACCUGAGAGUCAGUUUUAUUACCUAUAGCUUGUAUAGUCAUUCAAUUAGAAAAAUGAGACUGCUUUGAUUGAUUCAAAAUUUGAAAACUGGGGCUUAGGAACAAAAAUUUUAGUCUUCUAUUAACUUCAGUCUCCAAAAUAUCAUUUUGCUUUUGCAAAAUUGAGAAAUCUAUGACUAUCAAAUGUAAUUAUCAGUAUUUUAAGACAAUACUAACAAAUUUAAUAUACCCUUCAGUUAAAUGGGGGUGGUUGAAGCAGCUUCAUUCUUAGGUCAGCAUGAAAGUGAGUUAACUUACAAUUAAUUUACCUGUGUGUUAACUUGUUAUAAAAUGUUUGGCAUUCUACUUUUAUUAUAAAUUUUAAAAUUAUUUAAAAUACUUUACAAAUAAAAUUAAGAGCAAAGACUCAUUGAGACCCUAAAGCUUCUCCAAGUUUUUGCAGAAUGUAUUUUAGAAAGCCAAAUAGAGCAUAAGGGAAAUAUUCAAGACAUAUUCUCCUUGAGAAAUAUUGGAUCUGCACGCAUUUUUCUUUUUUUUUGGCUGUGCCUACACUGAAGUUGCCUUCCUGGGUAUCAAACCCUCACCACAGAAAUCACCAGAGCCACAGCAGUGACAAUGCCAGAUCCUUAACCCACUGAGCCACCAGGGAACUCCUACAUGCUUUUAGAUUAGUAGAUUCUUCUUGGGCUCCCCAGUUUUUUCAUUCACCUUUGUUUUCUUAUGCUCACCCAGCUGCUUUCAUCUACAUUGCUUCUUUGCUUCCUAUAUUGAGCUGGAUUUUUACCUUUCAUUAGAUGAUUCCUAACAGCCAGUCAAAAUUCAAGGUGCUAUAACUUUAAGAAAAAGAGGAAAACAAUAGAAACCAUUGUCAGGGAAUAUUUUUAAAAUAGAGAGUAAAGCCUCUAGGGGAAGAGAGAAUAUAUAUGCUGGAUUGUUGAUUUUAGGAAAAAAAAUACAGUAUGACAAGAGCAUACUUCUGGAAGCUUACCUCUUCCAUACUUGUUUCUCUUAUCAACUAAGGAUAUUAUUUUUUACCUGUUAAUAAGUGUUAUAAAGUCAUGAUUGAAAAACCAUUGUAUUUAUAGCUUUACUCUGUUAAGAAAGUCAUAUUCUGUGGGAUAAAAUGUAAACCAACUAUAGCAAUGUCCCCAUGAAAAUAAUUAUUUUAUAGUUUCAUUCUAAAAUGCACUCUUCUUACCUGUUCAGCAUAUAACACAACUCAUAACUCCUGUGUCUCACUAGGGGCUGGUGCAGCACUUGCUCUGAGGCCCCUUUUCCAUAAGAGGUGAACAACAGCCUUAGAUUUUUUUUUUUUUUUUUUUUCUUUUUAGGGCCACACCCAUGGCAUUUGGAGGUUCCCAGGCAAAGGGUCGAAUUGGAGCUAAAGCUGCCAGCUUACACCACAGUCACAGCAACCCAGGAUCCAUGUGGCAUCAGUGACCUACACCACAGCUCUCGGCAACGCCAGACCCUUAACCCACUGAGCAAGGCCGGGGAUUGAACCCGCAUCCUCAUGGAUACUUGUCAGGUUCAUUAACCAUUGAACCAUGAUGGGAACUCUAGUUUCAGAUUUGUAAAGAGGUUUAAGCAUGAUAUUUAGGGCUUUAAAAAUACCUGCAUUAUCAGUUCAUAUACUACCCAGUUCAUUUCUCUUGCCUGAGUUGGAGUUAUGUGAUAAAGUAUAGAUAGGGUGCAGACUAUCCAUCUUUUUCAUAACUGCUCUAUGAGGAUGUAUUCUUGUAUUUUCAUUAGAGUCCAGGAUUUGGAAUCAUAGGCUAGGUUCAUCUGGGCCUGUCAAUUGGAAUGCCUGUACGUGACCUUGUCAUGUAACUUGGGCUUCCUUACAUCAUGGCAAUCCCAAGGAUUUACAUCAAAGGGCUCAAAGAGCAGAGAGGAAGUUGCUUAGGCCUCUUAGAACUAGUCUUGCACAUCACUUCCCAGUACCCUAUUGCUCAAAGCAACCACAGUCUGCCCUGAGCAAGAGGAGGGCACUUUACUAUUGAGGAACUGCUACAGAAUUCAUGUUAAAACAGCCAACAA
This 5061-nucleotide long non-coding RNA is filed under the name Sus scrofa (pig). RNAcentral's name for it is "lncRNA (ENSSSCG00025076911.1)". Lineage: Eukaryota; Metazoa; Chordata; Mammalia; Artiodactyla; Suidae. The record is from RNAcentral.